Molecule: ribosomal RNA, 253 nt
Filed under: uncultured bacterium
Lineage: Bacteria
Description: partial 16S ribosomal RNA
Rfam family: Bacterial small subunit ribosomal RNA
Source: RNAcentral
UACGAAGGGGGCUAGCGUUGUUCGGAUUUACUGGGCGUAAGGCGCACGUAGGCGGACUUUUAAGUCAGGGGUGAAAUCCCGGGGCUCAACCCCGGAACUGCCUUUGAUACUGGAAGUCUUGAGUAUGGAAGAGGUGAGUGGAAUUCCGAGUGUAGAGGUGAAAUUCGUAGAUAUUCGGAGGAACACCAGUGGCGAAGGCGGCUCACUGGUCCAUUACUGACACUGAGAAGCGAAAGCAUGGGGAGCGAACAGG